Molecule: regulatory RNA element, 50 nt
Organism: Thalassotalea sp. ND16A
Lineage: Bacteria; Pseudomonadati; Pseudomonadota; Gammaproteobacteria; Alteromonadales; Colwelliaceae
Rfam family: L31-Gammaproteobacteria ribosomal protein leader
Source: Rfam
CGCAUGGUAUCUGGCAAAAGAUCAGAUGGCGAUGCGGCCUAACACAAGGU